This 525-nucleotide ribosomal RNA is filed under the name Eimeriidae sp. Aus1D. RNAcentral's name for it is "SSU rRNA". It matches the Rfam family "Eukaryotic small subunit ribosomal RNA", at positions 469 to 998 of the family's 1831-position model. The record is from RNAcentral. Lineage: Eukaryota; Apicomplexa; Conoidasida; Eucoccidiorida; Eimeriidae.
GACGAGAAAUAACAAUACAGGGCAUUUUAUGCUCUGUAAUUGGAAUGAUGGGAAUCCAAACCCCUUUCAGAGUAACAAUUGGAGGGCAAGUCUGGUGCCAGCAGCCGCGGUAAUUCCAGCUCCAAUAGCGUAUAUUAGAGUUGUUGCAGUUAAAAAGCUCGUAGUUGGAUUUCUGUCGUGGUCUUCCGGUGCCGCCCGUACGGGUGCGCACUUGGUUUGCCCUCGGCAUUCUUCCGGUUUCCUUCCCCGCUUCAUUGCGUGGUUGGUUUUUCCGGAACUUUUACUUUGAGAAAAAUAGAGUGUUUCAAGCAGGCUUUCGCCUUGAAUACUUCAGCAUGGAAUAAUAAAAUAGGACUUUGGUUCUAUUUUGUUGGUUUCUAGGACUAAAGUAAUGAUUAAUAGGGACAGUUGGGGGCAUUCGUAUUUAACUGUCAGAGGUGAAAUUCUUAGAUUUGUUAAAGACGAACUACUGCGAAAGCAUUUGCCAAGGAUGUUUUCAUUAAUCAAGAACGACAGUAGGGGGUU